AAAACUUAGUUAAAGUAUAACAUUAGUUUGUCAAGCUAAAAUUAUUUAGAUUGUAAUAGUUUUUAA
This 66-nucleotide transfer RNA is filed under the name Coleoptera sp. ACP-2013. RNAcentral's name for it is "tRNA-Asp". The record is from RNAcentral. Lineage: Eukaryota; Metazoa; Arthropoda; Insecta; Coleoptera.